GGGUGGCUUAAGUUGGUGGCAUUUGGUUGCCUUUCCUGGGGAGAGGCGGCAGGUGCUCAGCUCUGCAGACGUGGGGGCAAGAGAAGGCCCAAGCUGCCUCGAGAAGAGCAGAGGUGCCCCAUGGGGACCAUGAUGACCGGUCGCAUGUGCCAAAGCCAGCCCCCGGCAGGGCCAGCGCAGGGUUUCUGCGGGGCCGUCCUGUGGCUCUGAUAUCUAUGAGUGGGUGGCCAGCAAAGGCACAGGCACCAGCAGAAAGGAGCAGAGAUGCCCAGAACAUGCUGUCCCCCAAUGCCAGCCCCAAGCGAGGCCAGCUUAGGGUGCGGUGGGCAGAGCCAUCCUGCAGCUCUGAGAUCCACGAAGUGGAGGUGGGAGUAGCGCCAGGCUCCACGGCGUUGGAGCUCUCACAACUUGAGCUCAAUUUUAUUCCGGAGCCAUGACCUGCAGCACAUUGGUGACCAGAAGACGCCCAAAGGCAUUGUGUGAUCAAAGCAAAAUAAAUAUGUUCUUGUUUCUGGAAUUACUAAAGCUUUGAAAAUGGACUUAUCGACCUCAAACCAAUGGGACAUAUUCCUACAUGGCCUUCUCCCCUGUUAGGGUUCCCAGGGUAUGUCUUUAAUGUCUGGUUUAAUAGAAGAAGACUUGGUUCUCCUUUCUGCUUCUAUGUUUAAUUUCUUGUGACAUCCCACGUCAGGUAGCUGGGAAACUCCAAUUAUACUUGUGAGAGAAUGAAAGUGGAAAAGGGUUUCCCAGAGGAAGAGAGAGAAUUUGGACAAAUGAAUGAGGAACAACGCUCUCCUGAGGGUUUUCUUUAAGGGGCGAGGAUCACUGCCGCUAGCUCCUUUGAAAGCAAAGUUAAGAGGCAGCGCAGGAAGGCACAGCAGGAAGGCUCAUGGUUAGACUACAGAGAAGGAAGCAGCCACUGCUGGGGACCUACCCUGUGCUGGUCACUGACAAGCUGUCUCAUUAAACCUUCCCGGACCCUCAA
RNAcentral lists this long non-coding RNA (985 nucleotides) under Homo sapiens (human). Its description in RNAcentral is "HSALNT0400639". The record is from RNAcentral. Lineage: Eukaryota; Metazoa; Chordata; Mammalia; Primates; Hominidae.